UUUCCUACGGGAGGCAGCAGUGGGGAAUAUUGGACAAUGGGCGAAAGCCUGAUCCAGCCAUGCCGCGUGUGUGAAGAAGGUCUUCGGAUUGUAAAGCACUUUAAGUUGGGAGGAAGGGUUGUAGAUUAAUACUCUGCAAUUUUGACGUUACCGACAGAAUAAGCACCGGCUAACUCUGUGCCAGCAGCCGCGGUAAUACAGAGGGUGCAAGCGUUAAUCGGAAUUACUGGGCGUAMAGCGCGCGUAGGUGGUUUGUUAAGUUGGAUGUGAAAGCCCCGGGCUCAACCUGGGAACUGCAUCCAAAACUGGCAAGCUAGAGUACGGUAGAGGGUGGUGGAAUUUCCUGUGUAGCGGUGAAAUGCGUAGAUAUAGGAAGGAACACCAGUGGCGAAGGCGACCACCUGGACUG
RNAcentral lists this ribosomal RNA (409 nucleotides) under uncultured Pseudomonas sp. Its description in RNAcentral is "bacterial SSU rRNA". It matches the Rfam family "Bacterial small subunit ribosomal RNA", at positions 335 to 736 of the family's 1533-position model. Lineage: Bacteria; Pseudomonadati; Pseudomonadota; Gammaproteobacteria; Pseudomonadales; Pseudomonadaceae. The record is from RNAcentral.